Trichomycterus rosablanca is the source of this 249-nucleotide long non-coding RNA. RefSeq lists it as uncharacterized. The transcript has 3 exons. Lineage: Eukaryota; Metazoa; Chordata; Actinopteri; Siluriformes; Trichomycteridae. The record is from RefSeq and is a predicted model, not a curated record.
AGCGUCUGGGUCUCCAGUGCAGCAUGAGCAGGAAGCCAAACUUCUCAGCAGGACCCUUGGACACCAAGAAGUACGUGUGCAGCGUCAUGUGGAACCAACUGUGUGGACUGAAGAAGGAUCAGCAUCUGAUGACGAUGUAACGAUUCACGUGAUUGUACAUGAGUGACUAGGCCCUGACUUGAUGGUUCUCGACUGUUUUUCCUGAUUCCCCACAAUCCUUCAGUGCUGCAUGAGCUCCUGGAUGAACCG